RNAcentral lists this ribosomal RNA (1097 nucleotides) under uncultured organism. RNAcentral describes it as "bacterial SSU rRNA". It matches the Rfam family "Bacterial small subunit ribosomal RNA", at positions 100 to 1196 of the family's 1533-position model. The record is from RNAcentral.
GCACGGGUGCGUAACGCGUAUGCAACCUACCUUUAACUGGGACAUGGCCCCGAGAAAUCGGGAUUAAUAUCCCAUAAUAUCCAGAAAACGCAUGUUUUCUGGAUUAAAGUUCCGGCGGUUAAAGAUGGGCAUGCGUGGCAUUAGUUAGUUGGUGAGGUAACGGCUCACCAAGGCAAUGAUGCCUAGGGGUCCUGAGAGGGUUUUCCCCCACACUGGUACUGAGACACGGACCAGACUCCUACGGGAGGCAGCAGUAAGGAAUAUUGGGCAAUAGGCGCAAGCCUGACCCAGCCAUGCCGCGUGCAGGAUGACGGCCCUAUGGGUUGUAACUGCUUUUGUAUGGGAAAAAACUCCCGCACGUGUGCGGGACUGAUUGUACCAUACGAAUAAGCAUCGGCUAACUCCGUGCCAGCAGCCGCGGUAAUACGGAGGAUGCAAGCGUUAUCCGGAUUCAUUGGGUUUAAAGGGUGCGCAGGCGGAUUAGUAAGUCAGUGGUGAAAGCUCCCGGCUCAACCGGGAAAAUGCCAUUGAUACUGUUAAUCUUGAGUACAGUUGAGGUAGGCGGAAUGUAUCAUGUAGCGGUGAAAUGCAUAGAUAUGAUACAGAACACCGAUAGCGAAGGCAGCUUACCAAACUGUAACUGACGCUCAUGCACGAAAGCGUGGGGAGCAAACAGGAUUAGAUACCCUGGUAGUCCACGCUGUAAACUAUGAUCACUCGCUGUUGGCGAUACACUGUCAGCGGCUUAGCGAAAGUGUUAAGUGAUCCACCUGGGGAGUACGAUCGCAAGGUUGAAACUCAAAGGAAUUGACGGGGGCCCGCACAAGCGGAGGAGCAUGUGGUUUAAUUCGAUGAUACGCGAGGAACCUUACCUGGGCUUAAAUGCAGAACGACCUCCCGAGAAAUCGGGACUUCCUUCGGGACGGACUGCAAGGUGCUGCAUGGUUGUCGUCAGCUCGUGCCGUGAGGUGUCGGGUUAAGUCCCAUAACGAGCGCAAACCUUAUCGAUGUAGUUGCCAAUCAGGUAAUGCUAGGGAACUCUAAGGAAAUUGCCUCCGCAAGUAGGGAGGAAGGUGGGGAUGACGUCAAAUCAGCAC